Mytilus californianus (California mussel) is the source of this 1913-nucleotide long non-coding RNA. RefSeq lists it as uncharacterized. NCBI's taxonomy places the organism in Eukaryota, Metazoa, Mollusca, Bivalvia, Mytilida, Mytilidae. The transcript has 4 exons. The record is from RefSeq and is a predicted model, not a curated record.
AGAAGACACGAAUGAAGGGUUCUUCACACCUUUCUGUGGACAAGAUAAUGAUGAGGCGUUCUUGCUAGAAAUAACCACAUACAUUCCAAUUUAUUACAACAAAUCACUGUCAAAAACAUCACCAUUUUUCAAAGCCAAGAGCAGACAAGAUAUCAGUCUUGAAUAUAGAGAAUCUAGACCUACAAUUCAUUACAGUGGACGAGUCAACCCAAUGUUCUUGAUGAGAAACUCUAGCCGCUGUGCUUGUCAAGGCUGUCCACCUUGUACAGAAGUAUUUGGAAAAUUAGUUGAGAUUGUGAAGGACGAAGAUGAUUCCAAAGAAAAAACUAUAGACUUCAACAAUCUGAUAACAAUAUUGGGAGGUGUAGUCACAAGCUUAUUUAUUCCUGUAGUUCUGCUCCUUGUUCGACAUAAUAUUCGAAACCGGAGUGUUAAAGAACAAACCAGUAAAAGAAAUCCAGGGGAUGGCUCCGACGAUAUUGACGGAAAAAUCGACAACAAUGAUGCUGCUUCAGAAGAGGACCAACAUGAAUUAUGUCUAUUAACUCCCAGACAAUCUAUGACGAGUGAUGAAUUAUCUUUUCAUUCUGCAUAUUAAAUCUGGUCAAUUUCUUAUAUUAUAUUUAUGACAAUAUCUUUGACCUAGGUUUUAAAAUAAAUACAUGUAAGGUGACUAGAAAAAUUCACAUCACAGUCAAAAAUGGUUCAUAAAGUGUAGGCAUUUUAAUCAAGCAAACAGGAUAAGUGAAUAUAUAUUACAAAAAUGGAGUGAUCACUUUUUCAAGAAAAGAUUUUUCGGUCGAAAGUUUUGCUUGUUUGCAAAAACUCAAUUUUGGUCUGCAUGAAAUUUAGUUUAUUGUUUAACAUGGUUAUUAAAAAAUAACACUCAAUGUGGAUGUAUGUUAAAGUGCGUUUCGUUUUAACAAUUGGUAUCACCAUCUCAGAGAGCGAGUCUAUCUUACCCAAUGUGCUUUCAUAACAUAUCAGGGAAACUGAUAUUCUCUAUGAACAAAUUGUUCAUAAAAUGCUUAAAUCUAUCGAAACACAAAGGUGUUUGCAUCCCAGACAUAGUUGAUCUUAGCCACAUUCGGAAAUUAAAGGUUUUUUUUUAAUUUUUGAUUUUAAAUGGAUUUCAACAUCGCUAUGGAUAGGGCUUUUACAAUUUUUCGAUUCUAGCGCCGAUUUUAAAUUAUAAAAGAGGCGCUACCUUCUACAUUCCUGUCCACUGAAUUUCAAGUGUGUUUGAUGGCAUACUAAAAGGCAUAUCAGAAUUUCAAAAGUCUCAAUCAAAGGAAACCAUAAAACAGUGCAAGAAAUAAUAAACAGUAUCAACACUUUGAGAACGGUCGUCAGCUCACUAACCAUCCACAUGACGCACGAAGAUUGCCGAUUAUCAUUUAUCUGUCCCCCGUGUAAAUAUAACAGAUGACAUACAUAGCACAUACAGUACUACUAGUCGAUCUCAUAUACAGUAAGAGGUUAAAACAUUAGGUAUUUCGGCAUUUUACCUGUAACCGGUAUAAGACUUUUGCGAGUCGCAACAGUCAACGAAAUCGAUAAUCCUGUUUGACCUUUUGCAGCUGACAAUGUAACUGGUACAGCUAAGCACAUACGUUAUCAUCGCCAGCGAAGGACAGACUCAAAGGUCGCAUGCAGAUGAAUCUAAAUAAGUGUCAUAUAAUUGUCCGCUAGACAACACAGUGUUAGUUAUUUUAUUGUUUGGCUUAUUUUGACAAAAAUAAUCCCACUUGACGCUUAUAAUGAAUAAUUAAUCAAUUAUAAUCCGUUGUUGUAAAUGUUUCAGGCCAAGAAAAACAUAUUUUAAAUAUUUCAAAUUAUAUUGUCAAAAGUAUAGUUAAUAACAUCUAUCGUAAGUUUUAAUUCCAUAAAGCACUGAAACAUGUUUUGUUCUG